RNAcentral lists this ribosomal RNA (243 nucleotides) under uncultured bacterium. RNAcentral describes it as "partial 16S ribosomal RNA". It matches the Rfam family "Bacterial small subunit ribosomal RNA", at positions 93 to 334 of the family's 1533-position model. The record is from RNAcentral.
CCGUGGCGGACGGGUGAGGAACGCGUAGCUGACCUGCCCCGACCCGGGGGAUAGUCGCCGGAAACGGCGCGCAAUACCCCAUGCCGUCACCUGGAGGGAUCUGGGUGACGAAAGGUUGGAAGACCGGGUUGGGAGGGGGCUGCGGCGGAUUAGCUAGAUGGCGGGGUAACGGCCCACCAUGGCGAUGAUCCGUAGCUGGUCUGAGAGGACGAUCAGCCACACGGGGACUGAGACACGGCCCCG